This 2109-nucleotide long non-coding RNA is filed under the name Lytechinus variegatus (green sea urchin). Its description in RNAcentral is "uncharacterized LOC121415156". Lineage: Eukaryota; Metazoa; Echinodermata; Echinoidea; Temnopleuroida; Toxopneustidae. The record is from RNAcentral.
UACCUGACAGUAAUAUUUGGUAAUAAAUUCAAUUCAAUUUAUUAAAGAUAAGUUGAAUAAAUAAGUUAGUGGUUGUACCAUUUCAUUUUUAGUCUUCAUCAAAAGAAAAUUUGUAAUAUUAUCAUAGCCAGAGCUGUUCUUAGUUUUCUAAUCUUUAACAAUGAUAAUAAUGAUAACUAAUGAUACAUGUACAUGUAGUUAGUGGUUGUACUAUUUCAUUUAUAGUCUUCUUCAAAAGAAAUUUAUAAUAUUAUCAUAGCCAGAGCUUUUCUUAGUUUUGAAAUAUUUAACAAUGAUAAUAAUUUUACAAGAAGUAAUGGGAGUAACAACUAUAGAUUGAUUUUUGUGUUCUUUUAAAAAUGAUCGAAAAUCAACAUCGGAAUUUGGAAUGUCGCGGGCAAGAUUUGGGCUGUUACAAUUUGUUAAUGAAAUAAUCAUUAAAUGUUUCAGCAAUCAACAUUGCAUUUCUAUUUUCGGAGCUGUUGAUCAUAAUUGUAGGAAUAGAUGAUGAUUUUUUUUUAUUAAGACCAUUGUUUAUCACCUUCCACGUACUUGAGACAUCAUAUUUACUUUGAUCUGAUAUAAUUUUUUUGUGCUUAUAAAAAAGGCAAUUUUGCCGGUUAAUACAAUGAAGAAGAGACUUAGUGAUCCAGGGAGAUCUCGGUUUUGAACCAGUUGUUUCUCCAGAAUUUACUUUUGCAAUUAACUUUUAUGUGGUAUGUGUUAUGGUAUGUCUAAUAUUUUGGAAAAUCAUGUUUUAAUUACAGUGAAGGAUAUCUUUUCAGUCUCUUGAUUUUAAUUUUGUAACCUAAGCAAUGAUAAAAGUAUCAAAGUGUAUUGAUAUUUUGAUUAUUGAUAAUAAAUUAAAUAAAUAUUACAUAAUAAAUCAGGAGUUGCUUAAUGUCAGCAAAUGAAAUUGAUGAUAUAUUUGUUAAUGACCCAAUGACAUUUGCCUUCCCUAACUUAUUUGUAGCAUUUUAUAUGUGACUUGUGAUUUCUAUUUGUCCUAACUUCUAUUCAUAGUUUUGGCCGCAUCCAUUCCUUUAUUACCCUGGCUGACCAAGUUAUUUAUAGAUAGUGGCUGGCUGGAAUCCUCAGUAGAAGUACUCAAAGCAUCUCAUGUUGAUCAUCUUGAUGAAGAGAUGAAAGGACCUUACAGUACACUGUUUACAGCUAUUAUUAAGAGUGAUGGUACAGUGUACAAGAAGUUUGUUGACCUGGGAGGUGAAACCAUUGCAAGAAAGCAUGGAAUGGAUGAAUUGCAAGCAGCCCUGACAACAUGUGCAAGGUAGUAAGACUGGUGUAUCUACACAUCUCAUUGUUCUUCUGUUGCAUCUCACUCUGAGGAUUUGAGGGGUUGAUUUGGCAGAUCACACUUAAUUGUGAUGUAGAAAACAGGAGCUUCAUUUAGGCAUGUUUGAAGAGAUUGUUUGAUGGUAUUCACAAAUUCAUCUAUGAGGUCAAAGAAUGUAUUGUGAGGUCACAAACCAUUCUAUGAUGUCACAGACUUCAUUCUGACAUUACUCUUUAGAGGAUCAGGUGAUGCACAGAGAAAACAAACAUUUGUCUUCUUUUUCUUGUUGAUUGUAGGGAAUAUUGUUUUCCAAGAAGUAAAACAUCCAUAGUAGCUGCAUUCCCUGUGGAACAGACAAAAAUUGAGUGUUGAUUCUCAUAUAUUUUUGCCUGAAUACAUGUAAUAGUGAAAAAUAUGUUAGAAAUCCUUAACUAUUAGACUGCUAUAGGCUUAACCCUAUUUAGGCCGGGGGGGGGGGGGAUGGGAUGAGUCGUGCGAUAUUUUCGCUGAGCAAAAUUUUUGACCAUGCUACUCAUUGACUUUUUACUUCCAAGUCUUGCGCAGCUUUUGAGACCAAUUUUGCAUCACCUGGGUAUCCGGUUCCGAAAUUACGCAACUUUAUGUUAGUGCAUGUCACACCAAAAAUUGCUCAAAAAUGUGAUUUCGUGUACAAAGUCAAUGUAAAUUGUGUUUUCAACCAAAAUCAUAAAUGUAUGAUUAGUUUCAGUUUUGUUGUUCCAAAUGUAUUUAUUUCAUGCUGUUUAUGAUCUUAGAAGAGUCCCCUACAAAUUUCAUUGAAAAACAAUGAAAAACAA